GCAUAUCAUAGCGGAGGAAAAGAAACCAACCGGGAUUGCCUCAGUAAACGGCGUAAGUGAAGCGGCAAGAAGCUCAAAUUUGAAAUCUGGCCCUUCCGGGGUCCGAGUUGUAAUUUGUAGAGGAUGCUUCGGGUGCGGCCCCCGUCGAAGUGCCCUGGAACGGGCCGUCGGAGAGGGUGAGAAUCCCGUCUGGGACGGGGUGUCCGUGCCCGUGUGAAGCUCCCUCGACGAGUCGAGUUGUUUGGGAAUGCAGCUCUAAGUGGGUGGUAAAUUUCAUCUAAAGCUAAAUACCGGCCGGAGACCGAUAGCGCACAAGUAGAGUGAUCGAAAGAUGAAAAGCACCUUGAAAAGGGAGUUAAACAGCACGUGAAAUUGUUGAAAGGGAAGCGCUGACGACCAGACUCGGCCGCGGGGUUCAGCCGGCAUUCGUGCCGGUGUACUUCCCCGCGGCCGGGCCAGCGUCGGUUUGGGCGGUCGGUCAAAGGCCCCCGGAAUGUAGCGCCCCUCGGGGCGCCUUAUAGCCGGGGGUGCAAUGCGGCCUGCCUAGACCGAGGAACGCGCUUCGGCUCGGACGCUGGCAUAAUGGUCGUUAACGACCCGUCUUGAAACACGGACCAAGGAGUCUAACAUCUACGCGAGUGUUCGGGUGGCAAACCCGUGCGCGCAGUGAAAGCGAACGGAGGUAGGAGCCCCCUCGCGGGGCGCACUAUCGACCGAUCCUGAUGUCUUCGGAUGGAUUCGAGUAGGAGCGUAGCUGUGGGGACCCGAAAGAUGGUGAACUAUGCCUGAAUAGGGUGAAGCCAGGGGAAACUCUGGUGGAGGCUCGCAGCGGUUUCUGACGUGCAAAUCGAUCGUCAAAUUUGGGUAUAGGGGGCGAAAGACUAAUCGAACCAUCUAGUAGCUGGUUUCCUGCCGAA
This 917-nucleotide ribosomal RNA is filed under the name Aspergillus baarnensis. RNAcentral describes it as "LSU rRNA". It matches the Rfam family "Eukaryotic large subunit ribosomal RNA", at positions 38 to 965 of the family's 3401-position model. Lineage: Eukaryota; Fungi; Ascomycota; Eurotiomycetes; Eurotiales; Aspergillaceae. The record is from RNAcentral.